UGCUCGAUAGUAUAGAGGUGGAUAUCUCCGCCUGUCACGUGAAAGACCCGGGUUCGACUCCCGGCCGAGGAG
This 72-nucleotide transfer RNA is filed under the name Trichobilharzia regenti. It matches the Rfam family "tRNA". Rfam says of the family: Transfer RNA (tRNA) molecules are approximately 80 nucleotides in length. Their secondary structure includes four short double-helical elements and three loops (D, anti-codon, and T loops). Lineage: Eukaryota; Metazoa; Platyhelminthes; Trematoda; Strigeidida; Schistosomatidae. The record is from Rfam by way of RNAcentral.